CGGCAACAGCUCAAAUUUGAAAUCUGGCUUCGGCCCGAGUUGUAAUUUGUAGAGGAUGCUUUGGGCGCGGCUCUAACUGAGUUCCCUGGAACGGGACGCCACAGAGGGUGAGAGCCCCGUAUAGUUAGAUGCCUAGCCUAUGUAAAGCUCCUUCGAC
RNAcentral lists this ribosomal RNA (157 nucleotides) under Trichocladium griseum. RNAcentral describes it as "partial large subunit ribosomal RNA". It matches the Rfam family "Eukaryotic large subunit ribosomal RNA", at positions 99 to 261 of the family's 3401-position model. Lineage: Eukaryota; Fungi; Ascomycota; Sordariomycetes; Sordariales; Chaetomiaceae. The record is from RNAcentral.